Molecule: long non-coding RNA, 556 nt
Organism: Daucus carota subsp. sativus
Lineage: Eukaryota; Viridiplantae; Streptophyta; Magnoliopsida; Apiales; Apiaceae
Exons: 3
Source: RefSeq, a predicted model, not a curated record
CACUUUUUCAAACUUUCAAACAAAUCUCUUCUUUCCUCAAAUUUGAAUUUCUUUCUUUACCAACAUCUUCAUCUACUGGGCAUUGCUUCGUCUUGCUCGAGGUUCUUUCCUAGGCGAUUUGGGCUGCUGCUCUCGGAAUCAUCUACCGGCUUGAACAAUUAUUUUCUGCUAAAUCCUUUGUCCAUCCUCUCAAAUGUGUCCUUCACGACUUGCUUCUAAUUGCGCUCACAACUUCCUCAGCAUUGUGUUGGAGGCGAUUACUACCGUUGCUCGGAUCUACUGAUGGAGGAGGUAUUUCCUUCUCCCCAAUAUCUAUAUCACUUCCCUUUUUUAGGUUAAUCUCUUUUUGUGUCAAGUGAUUAUUUGAUUUCUUGAUUUUCUACUAAAAUGGUGAGGCUUUUGCACUCCAUCUGUUUGAUGAGAAUACUGAUACAGUUUUAUGAUUUAUCGAAAUGUAAGGAUUUAGUACUGCAGUCCAUGUGUCUCCUCUUCAAUUUUCAUAAGUUUUUGUGCUGGAAAUAAAUUCAUAUAUGUCACCUUCAUAUAUGUGCUGAAA